AACUCGAGUUGUUUGGGAAUGCAGCUCAAAAUGGGUGGUAAAUGCCAUCUAAGGCUAAAUAUUGGGGAGAGACCGAUAGCGAACAAGUACAGUGAUGGAAAGAUGAAAAGAACUUUGAAAAGAGAGUUAAACAGUACGUGAAAUUGCCAAAAGGGAAGGGUAGGAGGUCAGAGAUGCGGCCUGGGAUUCAGCCUUGCUUUUGCUUGGUGUUUUUCCCAGAUUGCAGGCCAACGUCGGUUUUGGGCACUGGAGAAGGGUAGGAGGAACGUGGCACCCCUCGGGGUGUGUUAUAGCCUCCUACUGGAUACAGCGACCGAGACCGAGGACAGCAGCGUACUCGCAAGAGCGGGCCUUCGGGCACCUUUACGCUUAGGGCGUUGGCAUAAUGGCCCUCUNCCACCCGUCUUG
RNAcentral lists this ribosomal RNA (408 nucleotides) under Pseudozyma sp. DMKU-RE58. RNAcentral describes it as "eukaryotic LSU rRNA". It matches the Rfam family "Eukaryotic large subunit ribosomal RNA", at positions 259 to 656 of the family's 3401-position model. The record is from RNAcentral. Lineage: Eukaryota; Fungi; Basidiomycota; Ustilaginomycetes; Ustilaginales; Ustilaginaceae.